Molecule: long non-coding RNA, 1501 nt
Organism: Gorilla gorilla gorilla (western lowland gorilla)
Lineage: Eukaryota; Metazoa; Chordata; Mammalia; Primates; Hominidae
Exons: 4
Source: RefSeq, a predicted model, not a curated record
UACUCUGUUGCCCACGCUGGAGUACAGUGGUGCGAUCAUAACUCACUGCAGCCUUGACCUCCUGGGCUCAAGUGAUCCUCCCACCUCAGCCUCCUGAGUAGCUGGGACUGUACGCGGCUGCCACUAUGCCCAGCUAAUUUUUAAGUUUUCUUUGUAGAGACAGGGUCUGCUGGGUUACCCAGGCUGGUAUCAAAUCCCUGGUCUCAAGAGAUCCUCCUAUCUUGAAGCGCUGGGAUUACAGCUGUGAGCAAUCGGGCCCAGCCUUGCCUAGUGUGUUGGGGCGACUUGCCUUUAAUCUAGGAGAGAAAGGAGCCUACUUGGCUGCCUUCUGUUGCUAGGUCGGGAGUUGGGAAAUGCACGCCUGGGCGGGUCCUGUAUUGGGUGGGGUUGAGGGGUGUCGUAACGCCCUGUUGAUAAAUAUUCCUGACCCAGCCUUGGGGUCCUUCACCAGCUCUCCUGCUCCUUCCACCUCAGGGCCCUCUUAGGGUUGCCUCUUGCAUUCUUUCCAGGGCUUAGCAGACAGGAACAGGGAGGGUCGGGUUUAGGCCAUCUUACCCAGACCGGAAGUCUCUAAGUAUUUGAUUGAGUGUUUGUUUGAAGAAAGUGAUGAACCCAGGACCUCGAGCCAGGAAGAUUUUUCCCGGUGAAAAGUGGAGGGAUUGACUCACGCUGGGUUCUGAGUUCCAGGCCCGACUCCAGGGCUCACCAGCUUCUUCCACAACCCGCACGACUUGAACGCUUGGUAGCAUCUCCGCACAGCAGUGGGCACCCUGGCUUCUGGAGGAGCCCAGGCUGCAUUUGUUCCUCCAUGGUGCAUCUCAUAGGAUCAACUGGACCCGUGAAAGGCACUGGCUGCGGAAAAGCAGCCAACUCCUCCCCAGCGAAGGGGAUGGCCAGAAGCGAGGAAAGGGAGAAGCCCCAGCAGAGACCCCAGGAGGAAAAGACCCCACAACGGGGCCACUGGGAACCCAUGAUGUUGGUUACCAAUGUGGCUGGAGGUUCAGAACGAUGGACGUGUGGCCCUGGAGUGGGAAACAGAAAAGCUGAAGGGUGAGACCUGGGAGGUAGCCCCCCACCCCCGUGGACUCUGAGACCCAACCUUCCUUCCCUGCGCUCCAGCCGGACGUUCUCCCUGCCCCUGUGGCUGAGCCUGGUGACGAUUCAGCACACAGGAAGGUGGCCCUGCCCAGGGCCAAGCUCUCUCUCAGUUGGCACCUGGCCAGCUUCCUUUCCUUGACCUUACCAUGCUCCUUUCUGGAAGGCACCGCUCCAGACCGUCUCCUUGGAAAAGCUACUUCAGUCCCAGUGCCUGUCCCUGCCACACUCAACAUUCCUGUCUGGAAAAGAGUUGCUCUUUAUUCAGCACCUACUCAGGAGGCUGAGGCAGGAGAAUCACUGGAACCCAGAAGAUGGAGGUUGCGGUGAGCCAAGAUCAUGCCAUUGCACUCCAGCCUGGGCAACAAGAGGGAAACUCCAUCUCCAAAAUAAAUAAAUAAAUAAA